RNAcentral lists this ribosomal RNA (482 nucleotides) under uncultured bacterium. RNAcentral describes it as "bacterial SSU rRNA". It matches the Rfam family "Bacterial small subunit ribosomal RNA", at positions 30 to 506 of the family's 1533-position model. The record is from RNAcentral.
UUGAACGCUGGCGGCAUGCUUUACACAUGCAAGUCGAACGGCAGCGGGGGCUUCGGCCCGCCGGCGAGUGGCGAACGGGUGAGUAAUGCAUCGGAACGUACCCAGUCGUGGGGGAUAACUACGCGAAAGCGUAGCUAAUACCGCAUACGCCCUGAGGGGGAAAGCGGGGGACCUUCGGGCCUCGCGCGAUUGGAGCGGCUGAUGUCGGAUUAGCUAGUUGGUGGGGUAAAGGCCUACCAAGGCGAUGAUCGGUAGCUGGUCUGAGAGGAUGAUCAGCCACACUGGGACUGAGACACGGCCCAGACUCCUACGGGAGGCAGCAGUGGGGAAUUUUGGACAAUGGGGGCAACCCUGAUCCAGCCAUUCCGCGUGAGUGAAGAAGGCCUUCGGGUUGUAAAGCUCUUUUGUCCGGAGCGAAACGGUUACGGUGAAUAUCCGUGACUACUGACGGUACCGGAAGAAUAAGCACCGGCUAACUACGU